UAACAAUUAGACUUAGAUUAUGCACAGGAG
Molecule: non-coding RNA, 30 nt
Filed under: Mus musculus (house mouse)
Lineage: Eukaryota; Metazoa; Chordata; Mammalia; Rodentia; Muridae
Source: RNAcentral